UCCGGUUUGACACCGGCAGUCUCCCAUGAGUCCCCAACUAAAUGCUGGCAACAUGGAACGAGGGUUGCGCUCGUUGCGGGACUUAACCCAACAUCUCACGACACGAGCUGACGACAGCCAUGCACCACCUGUACACCAGUGUCCAAAGAGACCCACAUCUCUGCAGGCUUCUGGUGUAUGUCAAACCCAGGUAAGGUUCUUCGCGUUGCAUCGAAUUAAACCACAUGCUCCACCGCUUGUGCGGGUCCCCGUCAAUUCCUUUGAGUUUUAAUCUUGCGACCGUACUCCCCAGGCGGGAUACUUAAUGCGUUAGCUUCGGCACGGCAGUCGUUGGUACAACCGCCACACCUAGUAUCCAACGUUUACAGCGUGGACUAC
RNAcentral lists this unclassified non-coding RNA (378 nucleotides) under uncultured bacterium. Its description in RNAcentral is "contains 16S-23S intergenic spacer region". The record is from RNAcentral.